UGGGGAAUCUUGCACAGUGGGGGAAACCCUGAUGCAGCGACGCCGCGUGGGUGAAGAAGGCCUUCGGGUUGUAAAGCCCUUUAGGCGGGGAAGAAGGUUUUAGGGUGAUAAGCCUUAAAAUUUGACGGUACCCGCAGAAUAAGCACCGGCUAACUACGUG
This 160-nucleotide ribosomal RNA is filed under the name uncultured bacterium. RNAcentral's name for it is "partial 16S ribosomal RNA". It matches the Rfam family "Bacterial small subunit ribosomal RNA", at positions 355 to 507 of the family's 1533-position model. The record is from RNAcentral.